Small nucleolar RNA from Dipodomys spectabilis (banner-tailed kangaroo rat), 129 nucleotides. RefSeq annotates it as small nucleolar RNA SNORA51. The transcript has a single exon. The record is from RefSeq and is a predicted model, not a curated record. NCBI's taxonomy places the organism in Eukaryota, Metazoa, Chordata, Mammalia, Rodentia, Heteromyidae.
GACGUCCAGAUGCUGACCACAGGCUGUGUUCUUACACUGACUAUAGAAAGAGAAGGCAGAGUAAAUCUACCCCAUAGACACCUCAGCCCAGACCCCAUACCUGGUCGGUAUUGUGAAGGGGAGGCAUGG